UGGGGAAUAUUGCACAAUGGGCGCAAGCCUGAUGCAGCCAUUCCGCGUGUAUGAAGAAGGCCUUCGGGUUGUAAAGUACUUUCAGCGGGGAGGAAGGUGUUGAGGUUAAUAACCUCAGCAAUUGACGUUACCCGCAGAAGAAGCACCGGCUAACUCCGUGCCAGCAGCCGCGGUAAUACGGAGGGUGCAAGCGUUAAUCGGAAUUACUGGGCGUAAAGCGCACGCAGGCGGUCUGUCAAGUCGGAUGUGAAAUCCCCGGGCUCAACCUGGGAACUGCAUUCGAAACUGGCAGGCUAGAGUCUUGUAGAGGGGGGUAGAAUUCCAGGUGUAGCGGUGAAAUGCGUAGAGAUCUGGAGGAAUACCGGUGGCGAAGGCGGCCCCCUGGACAAAGACUGACGCUCAGGUGCGAAAGCGUGGGGAGCAAACA
RNAcentral lists this ribosomal RNA (427 nucleotides) under uncultured bacterium. Its description in RNAcentral is "partial 16S ribosomal RNA". It matches the Rfam family "Bacterial small subunit ribosomal RNA", at positions 355 to 774 of the family's 1533-position model. The record is from RNAcentral.